CGUAGGGGGCAAGCGUUGUCCGGAAUCAUUGGGCGUAAAGCGCGUGUAGGCGGUCCGAUAAGUCGGCUGUGAAAGUCCGGGGCUCAACCCUGGGAUGCCGGCCGAUACUGUCGGACUAGAGUUCGGAAGAGGCGAGUGGAAUUCCCGGUGUAGCGGUGAAAUGCGCAGAUAUCGGGAGGAACACCAAUGGCGAAGGCAGCUCGCUGGGACGUUACUGACGCUGAGACGCGAAAGCGUGGGGAGCAAACAGGAUUAGAUACCCUGGUAGUCCACGCCGUAAACGAUGGGCACUAGGUGUGGGAGGUGUCGACUCCUCCCGUGCCGGAGCUAACGCAUUAAGUGCCCCGCCUGGGGAGUACGGCCGCAAGGCUA
RNAcentral lists this ribosomal RNA (372 nucleotides) under uncultured organism. RNAcentral describes it as "bacterial SSU rRNA". It matches the Rfam family "Bacterial small subunit ribosomal RNA", at positions 526 to 896 of the family's 1533-position model. The record is from RNAcentral.